AACGAACGCUGGCGGCAUGCCUAACACAUGCAAGUCGAACGAUACCUUCGGGUAUAGUGGCGCACGGGUGCGUAACGCGUGGGAACCUGCCCUUAGGUUCGGAAUAACUCCCCGAAAGGGGUGCUAAUACCGGAUAAUGUCUUCGGACCAAAGAUUUAUCGCCUUUGGAUGGGCCCGCGUUGGAUUAGCUAGUUGGUAGGGUAAAAGCCUACCAAGGCGACGAUCCAUAGCUGGUCUGAGAGGAUGAUCAGCCACACUGGGACUGAGACACGGCCCAGACUCCUACGGGAGGCAGCAGUGGGGAAUAUUGGACAAUGGGCGAAAGCCUGAUCCAGCAAUGCCGCGUGAGUGAUGAAGGCCUUAGGGUUGUAAAGCUCUUUUACCCGGGAUGAUAAUGACAGUACCGGGAGAAUAAGCUCCGGCUAACUCCGUG
Molecule: ribosomal RNA, 433 nt
Filed under: uncultured bacterium
Lineage: Bacteria
Description: partial 16S ribosomal RNA
Rfam family: Bacterial small subunit ribosomal RNA
Source: RNAcentral